AAUCUUACUUAUCACACCUUUAAGCGGUACUAAAUUGUGAUUAAUAUAACUAAGCCCUACAAAAUUAUUAUCAACAACAAAGUCAAAAUUUAGGUUAUUAGACUCUCUUGAACUAGCAAGUUUAUCUUGAUCAGAUGUACUUAAAUACUGACCACCAACAACCCCAUUUAAAACUUUAACAAUACUUCCUUGCUCAUUUCUCAUUAAGAAAUAAGUUCCUGAACCAACUGUACUUGGAACUGAGUCUAGCAAACUAGCUGUAAGUGUGUUAGGCACUGGACUAAUCUUGGUGUUAUUUCUAAUCCUAAAAGGAUUAACAAAUAAUGUCCUAGAAAGAUCUGAACCAGAAUCUUUUUUAAGUGCAGUAUAGUUCAAAGCAUUCUCUCGGUCAAACAUAAGAUCAACACCAAAGAUCGGAACUAUCGUAUUUAAAUAGUUUUUUAAUGGACUGUAUUCCAUCAUAUUGUUCAGUUCUACAUCGUACAUUGGACGAUCUUCACUAAACAUGACAUAUCUGAUAAUAGCAAGAUCACUAUCAGGGCUUUCGUAAUAUAUUUUACUCUUUACAUUGUUAAAUGUAGUAGUUUUAUAAUCGGUUUGUUUUUCCCCGUUUACAAGAUAGUGAUUAUAUGUAAAACCAAUCCGAUGAGGAUAAUAAUCUAACACUUUAUUGAUAUUUUUACUUAGUGCUUGAGAAACACUUUUAGUAGUUAAAACGUACAACAAAUAGUAAUUUUGUUCAAGAUUAUCUAAGGUUGUGUAACGUAACAUCCCUAGUACACUACCAAAACCAAACUUAUCAAUAUUAACAGUUAGUUCAUCAGUUUUUAAUACCAAAUUGGUAUUAAAUAAGUAAGGUAACUCAUGAUUAGUAUUAAAGAUAUUUGAUCACGAGUUAAUCAUAUCAACUUCGGCGUUUAUUCGUUCUUGGUUUUGAUUAGUCUUAGUUUUGAUGUAAUCGCUUAAUUCAGAAGAAGGAAUAUUUUGCUUGUAGUCAUAUUGGUGCAAAGAGUUGAAAAUUUUGCUUUCAAAAUUAUUAGUUGGUUUUAAUUCGCUAAAUGGUUUAUCAUUAUCAUUUGG
This 1080-nucleotide non-coding RNA is filed under the name Mycoplasmoides gallisepticum S6. The record is from RNAcentral. Lineage: Bacteria; Bacillati; Mycoplasmatota; Mycoplasmoidales; Mycoplasmoidaceae.